AGGCCCUGGGGAUUGGGUCACUGUACCCUGAACCUUGCCCUCCUGAUGGCUCUGCUGCUCUCAUCUCCUGGAGGGAACCAGGCCGUGGCUGGGCUCCUGCUUCUGCUGCUGCCAGCAUCACGUCUGCAGGCUGGGCGGCUCCAUCAGGGUCCCCUUCUCCUUCCCCUGGGAACUGGCCAACGAUCGGCAGAUGAGGAUUCUCUGGAGACGGAGCACUUCCAUGGGGGAGUUUAUCUACAACGCCACCCUGCCUUUCGUACAAGAACAUUUCAAGGACCUAGUCACCUGACCUGGGCAAUGGGUCAGACGUCCAUCUUCCUCAGAAUCUUGAACUUGCAGGCGAAGGAGCAGACCAUGUGCUUCUUCCCUGCUCAUCUGAAACAGAGACGGCAUGAAGGAAUGGCAGCCACCGAGGGACCGGAGCUCACUAUCUAUAGUGAGCCCAUGUGGCUCAGGCUCCGAUGCCCCUGGAAGCUACCUCAGGCUCCACAUUCUGACCAUUGUUUCCGUCCCCUGCCUCUGCCUGUCCUCUGACAACAUUGUCUUUUCUCUUCCCUGCAAUCAUCCCCAAGUCUCAGCUGCUUCCUCUGACCUCGCCCCUCAUCCUGCCCUCAGACCCAACUGCUCUGCUCUUCAAGUUCUCCCUCUUCUUGUUCCAACCUGGCACUGUGACCCUGCUCAUAAUGACAGCAUCGCUCAGACCUGAGUCUUUCCACAGUCGUGGUGGCAGAGAACAGGGCUGAGCCUUCUUCUUCCUUCUGAGGAACAUCUGCUGCCUGAGCUUCCUUGGGACAACACACAAGGCAGACCCUGUCCUUGACCCAGCACACAGCCUCCCUGACGAAGCCCCGUCCAUCUCUUCCCCUUCUGUCCACCGCUUCCCUCAGCCCACACCCCAAAUAAAACACCAAGAUAAGCCGCUCCCAGAUACGGCCGUGAUGGAGGUAAAGGGAGGCUGGAGAAGGUACUAGACAUGUGGAGGCCUGCCAUGUAGAGAGGACACUUGAGUCAUGGCUUCUGCCUCACGAGGGCUUUGCAGUGGCCAUUGUCUCCCCCCAGGACGACGGCAUCACCUACACUCUCCUCACCCUCUCCUGUCCAACUACUCCUGUGCCACCCAAGGAGAGGCUGCCUACUCCAUCCUAACCGCCUAGUAAGGGGGAGUGGGCGAUGCUCUUAAAGUCACCUGUGCUUGUGGUAGGGAGACUCCCAGCUUCCACCAUACCCUCAUCUACAGAAGAAACUCAAGAGUCAGUGAAUCUGAAUGUCACAAAGAAUCUCCCCAAAACUACCAGUUCCCCCUUCAACUGUCUAUAUGCUACUAAAACAAAGCAAAACAAAAAAACAAUGGUACCCACAAAAGUUGGCUAAGCCUAAAUAGAGAGCUAUGUGUCACCUUCAACUUCCUUCCAAGCCAAAGCGGACUCCGACAGACAGCUCCCAUCCAUCACCCCCCAUAGUACUUUUUCAAAGGACUUGGUAUUUUUAUUGUGUUUUUCUGACAUGGGUCCUCAAGUCAUCCAUGCUGGCCUUUAGCAUGAGAUGUAGCCAGGGAUGACCACGAAAACCGUAUGGCGGCAUCUCUCGGCCGCUGUAAUUAUACACGUGCGUCACCACACCUGGCUUCCUCUACCGCCUUCUUUUUCCUCAUUUUUUUUUCACAGACUGUCUCAGGCCAGGCAACCUAAAUUCUCAGACUCUGGUAACCAGCCUAGCAGCCAACGUCUGUCCCCAAGGGAACCAUUAGGUUCUCUUGAGACCAAUGAGAGACUCACUCCCUACGGGUUUGGCCACGGGUUAAGCACCUAAAUGUUGUUAGAGAGUUGAUUUCUGGGUAAGUCUGCCAUAGGCCCCUCUGAUGUUUCUCCCGUUUUGAACAGCCUGAGAGUGGGUUUGGAAACUAACUGACCUGGCAAGUCACAUGACCAUUUGAGGAACAGCUUUGAGGCCCCUUCUCUGUGUCCAGCUACCUGGACGAGGAGUCAUCCUGUGGAUGACUGGCAGUCUGUUUGUGUGAGCACCUCAGGGAUGCCCAGAGGAGACACCACCCCAGCUACCAAGUGACCACGGCUGCUGCUGGGCGCAGCAGACGGAGAAAAGACACGGAGGAGUGACUCUGAGCACUGGGGUCUGGCUGGUUCACUUUGCAGGUGCCUCUAACAAUGUAUGUAAUCAUUAAGAGUCAAGAAACACCCUUUGCUGGAAGAGAACAUAGCAAAAGGAACCUUUUCCUGGACAGCUGUUUUAAGCUCUAAGGUGGCUUCAGUUGGAGCAAAGUUGACGAAACACCAAGAGCACGUCGAUUGCCUGCGUGACCUCCAGACUGUGAUGUUGUUUGUAUUUCCGAGACAGGGUUUCUCUGUGUAGCCCUGGCUGUCCUGGAACUCACACUGAACCCAGAAAUCCACCUGCCUCUGCCACCUGAAGGCUGGAAUUAAAGGCGUGUGACAA
Mesocricetus auratus (golden hamster) is the source of this 2451-nucleotide long non-coding RNA. RefSeq lists it as uncharacterized. The record is from RefSeq and is a predicted model, not a curated record. The transcript is spliced from 2 exons. Lineage: Eukaryota; Metazoa; Chordata; Mammalia; Rodentia; Cricetidae.